UUUAACUCUGGUCCAACAAAUGAUAACAAACUACCAAGUAUCUGCAUUGAUUAGAAUCUAGUUGAUUACAAAAUUCGAUAGAGUAUACUCUAUGAAAAUUUUUUUUGAUAAAUUUUAUCUUUAAUUUGUUUCUUUUUUUAUAAUUUAGUAAUUACAAUAGAAGUUGUUGAAAUGAAAGAAGUGAGUUCCGCAUGAUUCCCGAGGAGUUGCAAGGAGAUGCGCAUAAUCUAUGCACUCCUGACAUACCCCUAGGAAAAUUACACUAACAAACCUACGGCAGAGUUUGAAGUAGCAUCUGUAGAAAGUGUGUUGAAAAAUAAUCAAGAGAGACAAGAAAGCAUUGAACACAGUGUAAUUCCUGAGGAGUGUGAGGAAUUGUAUGAAGACGUGCGAAAUAUUUGCACUCCUGGCAUUAUAACUGAGGAAAAUUGCACAAAUGAUCGCAAGGCAGAACGUGAAGUAUCGGCUGUUGAAGGAGCCUUCGUGAAACGCGUACGAUUAAAACAGGUGUUGUACGAUUUUUUGAAAAUAAUAAGAAACUUGGCAGAAUCAUUUCAUAUGAUGGAAAAUGUUAUACUUUCAAAAGAGAAUAUAUAAUUAAUUUCAAUCAAUAUUAUAGAUCUCCUCAAAAAGUGAAGUUUGUCGUUUAUGAUUUAUACCCAAAUUGGGCGUACGAAAUAGAGAUAAUGGGAAACCCAUAUGUCCAACUAUGCUAUUAUUGUUUAAAGAAUAAUCAUUUUAAAAGGAAUUGUAUGCAGUUAAAGGUUGAUUAUUAUAAUUUUUAUUAUCCUUUCAUAAAAAUCUAAAAAAAAUUUAACUUCGUCAAAAUUUCUAAUGUAUACUGU
Molecule: long non-coding RNA, 845 nt
Organism: Daktulosphaira vitifoliae (grape phylloxera)
Lineage: Eukaryota; Metazoa; Arthropoda; Insecta; Hemiptera; Phylloxeridae
Exons: 4
Source: RefSeq, a predicted model, not a curated record